Molecule: ribosomal RNA, 288 nt
Filed under: Brazilozoros huxleyi
Lineage: Eukaryota; Metazoa; Arthropoda; Insecta; Zoraptera; Spiralizoridae
Description: partial 12S ribosomal RNA
Source: RNAcentral
GAAACUAAAAGAAUUUGGCGGCAAUUUGAUUUUUUAGAGGAAHUUGCUUAUUAAUCGAUAUUCUUCGUGUGGUUUACUUUAUUUUGUUUGGCUUGUAUACCGUUGUUAUAAGAAUAUAUUUUUAGAUUAUUUUCUUAAUUUUUAAUGAGUUUAUUUCAGAUCAAGGUUUAGUUUAUGGUUAAGGUAGAGUGAGUUACAAUAAGGUUAUUUAUUACGGAUAGUAUUUGUUUAUAUUUAGGAUGAAGGUGGAUUUAAGAGUAAUAUUUAUAUUGAAGGUAUAUUUGAAAG